ACUCCUACGGGAGGCAGCAGUGAGGAAUAUUGGUCAAUGGAGGGAACUCUGAACCAGCCAUCCCGCGUGUAGGAAGACGGCCUUAUGGGUUGUAAACUACUUUUAUACAGGAAGAAACGUACCCUCGUGAGGGUGCGUGACGGUACUGUAGGAAAUAAGCACCGGCUAACUCCGUGCCAGCAGCCGCGGUAAUACGGAGGG
RNAcentral lists this ribosomal RNA (201 nucleotides) under uncultured bacterium. RNAcentral's name for it is "partial 16S ribosomal RNA". It matches the Rfam family "Bacterial small subunit ribosomal RNA", at positions 335 to 532 of the family's 1533-position model. The record is from RNAcentral.